RNAcentral lists this ribosomal RNA (119 nucleotides) under Scophthalmus maximus (turbot). Lineage: Eukaryota; Metazoa; Chordata; Actinopteri; Pleuronectiformes; Scophthalmidae. The record is from RNAcentral.
GCUUACGGCCACACCGCCUGGUUCACGCCCGAUCUCGUUUGAUCUCGGAAGCUAAGAUAGGUUGGGCCUGGUUAGUACUUGGAUGGGAGACCGCCUGGGAAUACAGGUGCCUGUAAACC